UAAUACGGAGGGUGCAAGCGUUAUCCGGAUUCACUGGGUUUAAAGGGUGCGUAGGCGGAUUUGUAAGUCCGUGGUGAAAUCUCUAAGCUUAACUUGGAAAUUGCCGUGGAUACUAUAAGUCUUGAAUAUUGUGGAGGUUAGCGGAAUAUGUCAUGUAGCGGUGAAAUGCAUAGAUAUGACAUAGAACACCAAUUGCGAAGGCAGCUGGCUACACAACUAUUGACGCUGAGGCACGAAAGCGUGGGGAUCAAACAGGAUUAGAUACCCUGGUAGUCCACGCCCUAAACGAUGAUUACUCGACAUUUGCGAUACACAGCAAGUGUCUGAGCGAAAGCAUUAAGUAAUCCACCUGGGAAGUACGACCGCAAGGUUGAAACUUAAAUGAAUUGACGG
RNAcentral lists this ribosomal RNA (393 nucleotides) under uncultured bacterium. RNAcentral describes it as "bacterial SSU rRNA". It matches the Rfam family "Bacterial small subunit ribosomal RNA", at positions 521 to 916 of the family's 1533-position model. The record is from RNAcentral.